Molecule: ribosomal RNA, 460 nt
Filed under: uncultured bacterium
Lineage: Bacteria
Description: partial 16S ribosomal RNA
Rfam family: Bacterial small subunit ribosomal RNA
Source: RNAcentral
CCUACGGGCGGCAGCAGUGAGGAAUAUUGGUCAAUGGACGAGAGUCUGAACCAGCCAAGUAGCGUGAAGGAUGACUGCCCUAUGGGUUGUAAACUUCUUUUAUAAGGGAAUAAAGUGCAGCAUGUAUACUGUUUUGUAUGUACAUUAUGAAUAAGGAUCGGCUAACUCCGUGCCAGCAGCCGCGGUAAUACGGAGGAUCCGAGCGUUAUCCGGAUUUAGUGGGUUUAAAGGGAGCGUAGAUGGGUUGUUAAGUCAGUUGUGAAAGUUUGCGGCUCAACCGUAAAAUUGCAGUUGAUACUGGCAGUCUUGAGUACAGUUGAGGUAGGCGGAAUUCGUGGUGUAGCGGUGAAAUGCUUAGAUAUCACGAAGAACUCCGAUUGCGAAGGCAGCUUACUAAACUGCCACUGACAUUGAUGCUCGAAAGUGUGGGUAUCAAACAGGAUUAGAUACCCGGGUAGUC